GUCUAUUUCUAGGAGGAAGAGCACACUACAGCAGGACAACAGAGGCAGCGGGAAAGAGGCGGGAGAAUUUUCUAUCCGCUUUCAAAUCACUGCAGUGGGGAAUUGUUGUUGAAGGAUUUACUAGUUUGUGUAACCUCAAAUGGCACUUCAGAGAUUUACUUGAAUUGAUCUCUGGCAGCAGAUGGUAAUGAAUGUACCGGAGGACUAUUGAUUCAACAUUUCGGAUGGACUUGGUCAUCUUUCACUUGCCUUCAGCUUUAAUCAUUCCCAAAAAGUGAUUUAAUCAUUUCUCUGACAAGAUAUCUUCUCCCCCAUUACCGACCAAGAUAAGAAGUCGGCUUAUUAGUCUUCAUUACUUAGAUCAGCAUUUUAUUAAAUAACAAGGCUAUGAAUUUUACGGAAUUAACUGUGCAUAUGAUUACUUGGAAAAAUG
Hyla sarda is the source of this 433-nucleotide long non-coding RNA. RefSeq lists it as uncharacterized. The transcript is spliced from 3 exons. NCBI's taxonomy places the organism in Eukaryota, Metazoa, Chordata, Amphibia, Anura, Hylidae. The record is from RefSeq and is a predicted model, not a curated record.